Molecule: ribosomal RNA, 744 nt
Filed under: uncultured bacterium
Lineage: Bacteria
Description: bacterial SSU rRNA
Rfam family: Bacterial small subunit ribosomal RNA
Source: RNAcentral
AGAGUUUGAUCAUGGCUCAGGAUGAACGCUGGCGGCGUGCCUAAGACAUGCAAGUCGAGUGGGUUUAGACCCACGGCGAACGGGUGAGUAUAACCUAGGAACUUCCUUUAAGUUGAAGAUAUCCUCCCGAAAGGGAGAGCAAUAUUCAAUGUGGCAGCAAUGCUAAAGUCGCAAGACGCUUAAAGCAAGGCCUGGGCCCCAUCAGCUAGUUGGUAGGGUAAUGGCCUACCAAGGCGACGACGGGUAGCGGGACCGAGAGGUUGAUCCGCCACACUGGGACUGCGACACGGCCCAGACUCCUACGGGAGGCAGCAGUUUGGAAUUUUGGACAAUGGACGAAAGUCUGAUCCAGCGACGCCGCGUGCACGAAGAAGGCCUUCGGGUUGUAAAGUGCUUUUGCUUGGGAAAAAUUUUGAUUGUACCAAGAGAAUAAGAGGUUGCUAACUCUGUGCCAGCAGCAGCGGUAAUACAGAGACCUCAAGCGUUAUCCGGAAUCAUUGGGCGUAAAGCGUUCCGAUAGGUGGUUUACUAAGUUUUGGGUAAAAGCCAGAAGCUCAACUUCUGCGUUUGCUCAAGAUACUGGUAGACUAGAGGAGUAAAGAGGUAGCUGGAACCAACGGUGUAGUAGUGAAAUGCGUUGAUAUCGUUGGGAACACCGAAAGCGAAGGCAGGCUACUGGGUACUACCUGACACUGCUAGGACGAAAGCGUGGGGAGCGAAUGGGAUUAGAUACCCUAGUAGUCC